AGACCCGAAACCCGGUGAUCUAGCCAUGGGCAGGUUGAAGGUUGGGUAACACUAACUGGAGGACCGAACCGACUAAUGUUGAAAAAUUAGCGGAUGACCUGUGGCUGGGGGUGAAAGGCCAAUCAAACCGGGAGAUAGCUGGUUCUCCCCGAAAGCUAUUUAGGUAGCGCCUCGUGAAUUCAUCUCCGGGGGUAGAGCACUGUUUCGGCUAGGGGGCCAUCCCGGCUUACCAACCCGAUGCAAACUGCGAAUACCGGAGAAUGUUAUCACGGGAGACACACGGCGGGUGCUAACGUCCGUCGUGAAGAGGGAAACAACCCAGACCGCCAGCUAAGGUCCCAAAGUCAUGGUUAAGUGGGAAACGAUGUGGGAAGGCCCAGACAGCCAGGAUGUUGGCUUAGAAGCAGCCAUCAUUUAAAGAAAGCGUAAUAGCUCACUGGUCGAGUCGGCCUGCGCGGAAGAUGUAACGGGGCUAAACCAUGCACCGAAGCUGCGGCAGCGACACUCAGGUGUUGUUGGGUAGGGGAGCGUUCUGUAAGUCUGCGAAGGUGGCCUGUGAGGGUUGCUGGAGGUAUCAGAAGUGCGAAUGCUGACAUAAGUAACGAUAAAGCGGGUGAAAAGCCCGCUCGCCGGAAGACCAAGGGUUCCUGUCCAACGUUAAUCGGGGCAGGGUGAGUCGACCCCUAAGGCGAG
Molecule: ribosomal RNA, 693 nt
Filed under: Salmonella enterica subsp. enterica serovar Infantis
Lineage: Bacteria; Pseudomonadati; Pseudomonadota; Gammaproteobacteria; Enterobacterales; Enterobacteriaceae
Also listed under: 1 other name
Description: partial 23S ribosomal RNA
Rfam family: Bacterial large subunit ribosomal RNA
Source: RNAcentral